CUACGGGGGGCUGCAGUGGGGAAAAUUGGACAAUGGGCGCAAGCCUGAUCCAGCCAUGCCGCGUGAGUGAAGAAGGCCCUAGGGUUGUAAAACUCUUUCGCCAGGGAAGAUAAUGACGGUACCUGGUAAAGAAGCCCCGGCCAACUCCGUGCCAGCAGCCGCGGUAAUACGGAGGGGGCUAGCGUUGUUCGGAAUUACUGGGCGUAAAGCGCGCGUAGGCGGAUUGGUAAGUUGGAGGUGAAAUCCCGGGGCUCAACCCCGGAACUGCCUUCAAAACUGCCAGUCUGGAGUUCGGGAGAGGUGAGUGGAAUUCCUAGUGUAGAGGUGAAAUUCGUAGAUAUUAGGAAGAACACCAGUGGCGAAGGCGACUCACUGGCCCGUUACUGACGCUGAGGCGCGAAAGCGUGGGGAGCAAACAGGAUUAGAUACCCCAGUAGUC
Molecule: ribosomal RNA, 439 nt
Filed under: uncultured bacterium
Lineage: Bacteria
Description: partial 16S ribosomal RNA
Rfam family: Bacterial small subunit ribosomal RNA
Source: RNAcentral